Non-coding RNA from Arachis ipaensis, 553 nucleotides. The record is from RefSeq and is a predicted model, not a curated record. Lineage: Eukaryota; Viridiplantae; Streptophyta; Magnoliopsida; Fabales; Fabaceae.
GAUGACAGGGAUACAACAUAUGAAGAGGAUAUCAACUUUGCUGGGACCAAGAAAAGUGAUUCAAAAAGGUACAAGUUGUCUUACAAGCUUGCUGAGCAAAAUCGAUUUUCUGGUCCUUUCUAUAUCAAGUUAAAAUGACGUUAGAACUUUUGUGAAAAAAUGAGGUUCGACUCUGUUCCUAUAUUAAUGAUAUUCAAGGUCAGGGAUAUGGAAAGAAAGCAGGUCACUCAAUGUUCUUUCUUGAGAAUAUUUUUGUUCCACCAAUCAAAUUCCGCCCUCCCACUAAAGGAGGUGAUAUGGUAAGUGUGAAUAAUAAAUAAAGACUGUUAACGAGUUGUACUAUUUCUCUAUCUUCUUUGUUUGUACUCCAUGUUCUUGCUUCUACUGUGGAGUGUGGAAUAUUUCCAAAGUUUGUCAAUGCAAGGUAUAGGUUUAGGGAAGUACUCUGAAUUUGAAAUUGUUGUGGGAUAUAAAUGUAGGAAAAAUGUACUUAUGAAAUUGUUAGCAGAUAUAUAUAGAUUGGAAAAUGAAGGAUUUUUGUUAGAAAAUUCUA